This 421-nucleotide ribosomal RNA is filed under the name uncultured Methanospirillum sp. RNAcentral's name for it is "bacterial SSU rRNA". It matches the Rfam family "Archaeal small subunit ribosomal RNA", at positions 322 to 747 of the family's 1478-position model. Lineage: Archaea; Methanobacteriati; Methanobacteriota; Methanomicrobia; Methanomicrobiales; Methanospirillaceae. The record is from RNAcentral.
CCUAUGGGGGGCAGCAGGCGCGAAAACUUUACAAUGCGGGCAACCGUGAUAAGGAAACCCCGAGUGCCAGCACAGGCUGGCUGUCCACCAGUGUAAAAAACUGGUGAAGAAAGGGCCGGGCAAGACCGGUGCCAGCCGCCGCGGUAAUACCGGCGGCUCGAGUGGUGGCCGCUUUUACUGGGCUUAAAGGGUCCGUAGCUGGAUUCACAAGUCCCUUGAGAAAUCUAUCGGCUUAACUGAUAGGCGUUCAGGGGAUACUGUGGUUCUAGGGACCGGGAGAGGUGAGAGGUACUGCCGGGGUAGGAGUGAAAUCCUGUAAUCCCGGUGGGACGACCUAUGGCGAAGGCAUCUCACCAGAACGGCUCCGACAGUGAGGGACGAAAGCUGGGGGAGCAAACCGGAUUAGAUACCCCCGUAGUCC